This 343-nucleotide unclassified non-coding RNA is filed under the name soil metagenome. RNAcentral describes it as "partial contains 5.8S ribosomal RNA, internal transcribed spacer 2, and large subunit ribosomal RNA". The stretch from base 1 to 120 matches the Rfam family "5.8S ribosomal RNA", at positions 35 to 154 of the family's 154-position model. The record is from RNAcentral.
GAUGAAGAACGCAGCGAAAUGCGAUAAGUAAUGUGAAUUGCAGAAUUCAGUGAAUCAUCGAAUCUUUGAACGCACAUUGCGCCCGCUAGUAUUCUGGCGGGCAUGCCUGUCCGAGCGUCAUUUCAACCCUCAAGCCCCCGGGCUUGGUGUUGGGGAUCGGCGAGCCUCCGCGCCCGCCGUCCCCUAAAUCUAGUGGCGGUCUCGCUGUAGCUUCUUCUGCGUAGUAGCACACCUCGCACUGGGAAACAGCGCGGCCACGCCGUUAAACCCCCAACUUCUGAACGUUUGACCUCGGAUCAGGUAGGAAUACCCGCUGAACUUAAGCAUAUCAAUAAGCGGAGGA